CACCGCGCGAACUUGCUCCACCGCCCGCCAGCAGCCAUAUUUGGAACCGAAAGAGACGCUAUUCUCGGGGAAAGAAGCUGCUGAUGCCUUACAGAACACGGAGCACUCUCAACGUUUAUUUUCCUUUGGGUCCUGUCAACCUGUGAGCUGACCCCCACCGCCCCCCCUCCCCAACCCCUAUCUCUCUCUCUCUCUCUCUUCCCCCCCCACCCCAGCCAUCGCUAUCGAGAGACUUCAGGGAUUGUGAAGAACGCAGUUGAAUGUUAAAUUUAGUUAACAAUCUCAGCAUUGUCUCAAUCAUCAGCUCAGUGCCAAACUCUCUGUGACUGACACCUCCCUUCUCUCUCUGAACAUCAGAAGCCCUCACUGUGCCUGUGCCAAAGUCAGAGGAUCAUGAAGAGGAUAUAAAAAGAGGGAAUACAAGUGGGAUAAGUAAGAGGAAAAUUGAGACAGAUGAAAUUCUGAAUAAAAUUAGUAAAGAAUCAGA
Long non-coding RNA from Carcharodon carcharias (great white shark), 487 nucleotides. RefSeq lists it as uncharacterized. The transcript has 2 exons. The record is from RefSeq and is a predicted model, not a curated record. Lineage: Eukaryota; Metazoa; Chordata; Chondrichthyes; Lamniformes; Lamnidae.